UUUGGAAUUUUGGACAAUGGACGAAAGUCUGAUCCAGCGACGCCGCGUGGACGAUGAAGGCCUUCGGGUUGUAAAGUCCUUUUGCUCGGGAACAAUUUUUGAGCGUACCGAGAGAAUAAGAGGUUGCUAACUCUGUGCCAGCAGCAGCGGUAAUACAGAGACCUCAAGCGUUAUCCGGAAUCAUUGGGCGUAAAGCGUACCGAUAGGUGGUUUUACAAGUCAGAAGUGAAAUCUCUCAGCUUAACUGGGAGACUGUCUUUUGAAACUGUAAAACUAGAGGGCAAAGAGGAAGCUGGAACGAACGGUGUAGUAGUGAAAUGCGUUGAUAUCGUUCGGAACACCAAUAGCGUAGGCAGGCUUCUGGGUGCCACCUGACACUGCUAGGACGAAAGCGUGGGG
This 399-nucleotide ribosomal RNA is filed under the name uncultured bacterium. Its description in RNAcentral is "bacterial SSU rRNA". It matches the Rfam family "Bacterial small subunit ribosomal RNA", at positions 355 to 766 of the family's 1533-position model. The record is from RNAcentral.